AAGGUCUUCGAGAAGCUGCUCUAUGAGAUUUAAGUUAUGUCAAACUUUCCAUUUUGCCCCGUGUGUUUGCAAGGAUGUUUUUGCACAUUAUUCGUUUUUACCUCACCUGACAUUUCUGAGCAUGUAAGAUACGUUAAUCUGUAAGGAUUUUGAUUCUCUUCUUGCAUUUUGAUCUGCUAAUCAUAUAACGCUCUUCGAUUUUAAUUUAAAUAUUUUUUUACUACAAUAUUGUACCAAUUUUGGUUAGUGUUCUUGUUUUUGGUGUUUAAUUCCUGGUUUAGCAGUUUGGGAAAACGAAAUACUAAUAAGUAUUAAAGAAAUAGAGAGAUUUAAAGAAUCCUUUUCGUAUCUCGAUCUCCAUUAAUUUGUAUCAAGGCCAUGGUCCUACUAGAAAG
This 395-nucleotide long non-coding RNA is filed under the name Salvia miltiorrhiza (redroot sage). RNAcentral's name for it is "long non-coding RNA (SMIL_LNC007085)". The record is from RNAcentral. Lineage: Eukaryota; Viridiplantae; Streptophyta; Magnoliopsida; Lamiales; Lamiaceae.